Molecule: long non-coding RNA, 445 nt
Organism: Nematostella vectensis (starlet sea anemone)
Lineage: Eukaryota; Metazoa; Cnidaria; Anthozoa; Actiniaria; Edwardsiidae
Exons: 3
Source: RefSeq, a predicted model, not a curated record
GCAAACUUGCUUCAUUAUAGUUUAACUUCUUACGGGAGCCGAGUACACAUUCCUGACGAUAUUUUGAACAGCGAUGUUACACCUAAAUUGAUUUCCAGUUGAAUCCCGUCUGCGAUCUGCUGUUGAAAUUUGCAUCUUUCGUCUAUUAAAGGCCUCGUCCUAUAUUUAUGGCAUUUUUUCUGGACCUUAAACUAGCAAGGAAAGGAAACUAAGCUUCGCCACAAUAGGCAGGAUAGCCGCAACAGCAUGGCCAUUUACAGAUAAUAGAAGAUGUAAAAAGACUAUUUACAACAAGUUAUAGGAGAUGUAAAAAUUCAUCGACAACAUUAUUCAACAAGUGGAUGAGUCCUUUUUGCAAGAGGAGUCUUAGACUAGCACUGGCAAAUAAAAAUAACAAUGUUUUUUUUUUUACUUAUGUAAUCUUAUUUUAAAGAUUAAAGACAAU